This 445-nucleotide ribosomal RNA is filed under the name uncultured bacterium. Its description in RNAcentral is "bacterial SSU rRNA". It matches the Rfam family "Bacterial small subunit ribosomal RNA", at positions 330 to 792 of the family's 1533-position model. The record is from RNAcentral.
CCCAGACUCCUACGGGAGGCAGCAGUGGGGAAUAUUGCACAAUGGGGGGAACCCUGAUGCAGCAACGCCGCAUGGGUGAAGAAGUACUCCGGUAUGUAAAGCCCUGUCAGCAGGGAAGAAAAUGACGGUACCUGACCAAGAAGCCCCGGCUAACUACGUGCCAGCAGCCGCGGUAAUACGUAGGGGGCAAGCGUUAUCCGGAUUUACUGGGUGUAAAGGGAGCGUAGACGGCAAGGCAAGUCUGGAGUGAAAGCCCGGGGCCCAACCGCGGGACUGCUUUGGAAACUGUGUUGCUGGAGUGCAGGAGGGGUAAGCGGAAUUCCUAGUGUAGCGGUGAAAUGCGCAGAUAUCAGGAAGAACACCGGUGGCGCAGGCGGCCUGCUGGACGGCAACUGACGCUGAGGCUCGAAAGCGUGGGGAGCAAACAGGAUUAGAUACCCGCGUA